This 819-nucleotide long non-coding RNA is filed under the name Cricetulus griseus (Chinese hamster). RNAcentral's name for it is "lncRNA (ENSCGRG00015040645.1)". Lineage: Eukaryota; Metazoa; Chordata; Mammalia; Rodentia; Cricetidae. The record is from RNAcentral.
AUUAGCUGGUGAAUGCUUCCUCAAGGCUCCAAACAUGGGUCCAGUUGGGAAAACCCUGAAGACUGUCUUCACCCACCUUCCAUCCUGGGGUGGGGACAAGAGCAGCCAGCGGAUGCCAGAGUCGAGAAUCAGAGCCCCUGGAAGGGAAGUUGCCCGCUGUUGUGAGCUGCCCAGAGGAUACUGGGAAGCAGCUCUUCUGCAGUAGCAUACUGGAGACAGAACUUAGAGCUCAUUGCAUGCUGUGCAAGCACUCUAUCACUGUGCUAUCCUAGAAGGAUUUCAGAAGUGUUGUUGCGAUUCCUCGCCCACUCCUCCUAUAGUUCCCACCCAUUUGCUUACAAAACACCGUGCUCUCCCGUGUGUCAGGGGGACUCCUCCGGUACCGGUACCGACAACCUAGAGGAUGGAGCUCCGCAAAGUGAGCCUGUUCCCACCGCCUAGAUGUGUCCUCAGCAGGCAGAGGCCUGAAACCAGGAGGGCAGGAGGGUGGGAUGUGGGCAGAAAAUAUGGUUUGGGUUGUGGAUGCCCUUGGCACAGAGCCCCAGAACUCGGUGUCCAUACGUCUGGGGCAUGUCCUCCACAGCAGCUAAGGCUGGAACCCUGCUUGCCUGGAGCACUCUUCUUCUUAGAAAAGACUUAAUGGGAAUCUCUCAUAAUCACUCCAGUGUGGUUUAUGGUUUUGCCUUGGGUGUUACUACUGCGUGGGAGGGGAGCUCUCCCAGCCCCACAGAUGCCGGGGGAAGCUGCCACUGAACCUCCUGAUGCCUCUCUGAGCACCCCUCCCCCACCCCACCCACCACGAUGGUCUUUGUGUGCUAU